AGCGUUGACACAAGGGAGUGUGCCGGUACGCAUUGCCUUGCAGAGCUUUCAGGAGGGGUUGUGCAGUGUUACCUCAAACCGGCUAGGCCAAGAGCCGAAGGAAAAUGCU
This 109-nucleotide small RNA is filed under the name Candidatus Enterenecus faecium. RNAcentral's name for it is "drum RNA". It matches the Rfam family "drum RNA". From Rfam's summary of the family: Firmicutes, Bacteroidetes (1 example), Proteobacteria (2 examples), Spirochaetes (2 examples). Terminator (Clostridia) The record is from RNAcentral. Lineage: Bacteria; Bacillati; Bacillota; Clostridia; Eubacteriales.